Molecule: long non-coding RNA, 334 nt
Filed under: Mytilus galloprovincialis (Mediterranean mussel)
Lineage: Eukaryota; Metazoa; Mollusca; Bivalvia; Mytilida; Mytilidae
Source: RNAcentral
GCCCGUUAGACAUGUACACCUUACAAUCGUUCCAUACAACAAAUAUAGUAGACCUAUUGCAUAUAGUAUGAGAAAAACAGACGCAAAACACAAAAAUUUAACUUUGACCACUGAACCAUGAAAAUGAGGUCAAGGUCACAUGACAUCUGCCCGCUAGACAUGUACACCUUACAAUCAUUCCAUACAACAAAUAUAGUAGACCUAUUGCAUAUAGUAUGAGAAAAACAGACCAAAACACAAAAAUUUAACUAUAACCACCGAACCAUGAAAAUGAGGUCAAGGUCAGAUGACACCUGCCAGUUGGACAUGUACACCUUACAGUCCUUCCAUACAC